AUCAGAGGGCAAGCUGCAAAGAUGCCAAAGAAAAAUAUACAAGAAUUACCAGAAGAACAUUUUUGACAUAUGGGAAGCGUACAAAGAUGGCCAGCUACAGCCUCAAGAGUUACUGCGCCGUGUCUCCCAGUAUCACCAUCCUCAAAUUAGGUCAGCAGAUGAAAAUAUGGAAAAUUAAUGAAUUUUUUAAGUGUAGGCUAUAUAUAAGCUAUCUUUUAAUAAAUGUGCAAUAAAUAUUUUAUCCAUGUGUUACCUGAAUAAUGACAAAUAAAGUCCUGUAAACCGUUAAUCCUAAUGUUUAUUUUAUUUUAGCUAUCCUAAUUUAGCCACGUCUGGUUUAUAUCUUUAUUAUUGUACAAUAAAAUAUUUUAAACACAUGCUAUCUGAAUAAUGGUAAAUAGUAUAUGAAUAAUUAUGUAACGUGAAUGGACCGUCGAAUCGCCCAAGAUUAUUCGACUGGAAAAUAUCCACACCGUCGAUUCGUCCAAGACAGACCGUCGAAUUGUACUUCCGUCGAAACGUCCUGUAUUCCUGCCUGACACCCUUGCACCCUGGCAGGUGAGUGGCCCAGGUGAGCUGCCUGACACCCUUGCACCCUGGCAGGUGAGUGGCCCAGGUGAGCUGCCUGACACCCUUGCACCCUGGCAGGUGAGUGGCCCAGGUGAGCUGCCUGACACCCUUGCACCCUGGCAGGUGAGUGGCCCAGGUGAGCUGCCUGACACCCUUGCACCCUGGCAGGUGAGUGGCCCAGGUGAGCUGCCUGACACCCUUGCACCCUGGCAGGUGAGUGGCCCAGGUGAGCUGCCUGACACCCUUGCACCCUGGCAGGUGAGUGGCCCAGGUGAGCUGCCUGACACCCUUGCACCCUGGCAGGUGAGUGGCCCAGGUGAGCUGCCUGACACCCUUGCACCCUGGCAGGUGAGUGGCCCAGGUGAGCUGCCUGACACCCUUGCACCCUGGCAGGUGAGUGGCCCAGGUGAGCUGCCUGACACCCUUGCACCCUGGCAGGUGAGUGGCCCAGGUGAGCUGCCUGACACCCUUGCACCCUGGCAGGUGAGUGGCCCAGGUGAGCUGCCUGACACCCUUGCACCCUGGCAGGUGAGUGGCCCAGGUGAGCUGCCUGACACCCUUGCACCCUGGCAGGUGAGUGGCCCAGGUGAGCUGCCUGACACCCUUGCACCCUGGCAGGUGAGUGGCCCAGGUGAGCUGCCUGACACCC
Long non-coding RNA from Eriocheir sinensis (Chinese mitten crab), 1219 nucleotides. RefSeq lists it as uncharacterized. The transcript is spliced from 3 exons. The record is from RefSeq and is a predicted model, not a curated record. NCBI's taxonomy places the organism in Eukaryota, Metazoa, Arthropoda, Malacostraca, Decapoda, Varunidae.